UGGGGAAUAUUGCACAAUGGGCGCAAGCCUGAUGCAGCCAUGCCGCGUGUAUGAAGAAGGCCUUCGGGUUGUAAAGUACUUUCAGCGGGGAGGAAGGCGAUAAGGUUAAUAACCUUGUCGAUUGACGUUACCCGCAGAAGAAGCACCGGCUAACUCCGUGCCAGCAGCCGCGGUAAUACGGAGGGUGCAAGCGUUAAUCGGAAUUACUGGGCGUAAAGCGCACGCAGGCGGUCUGUCAAGUCGGAUGUGAAAUCCCCGGGCUCAACCUGGGAACUGCAUUCGAAACUGGCAGGCUAGAGUCUAGUAGAGGGGGGUAGAAUUCCAGGUGUAGCGGUGAAAUGCGUAGAGAUCUGGAGGAAUACCGGUGGCGAAGGCGGCCCCCUGGACAAAGACUGACGCUCAGGUGCGAAAGCGUGGGGAGCAAACA
This 427-nucleotide ribosomal RNA is filed under the name uncultured bacterium. Its description in RNAcentral is "partial 16S ribosomal RNA". It matches the Rfam family "Bacterial small subunit ribosomal RNA", at positions 355 to 774 of the family's 1533-position model. The record is from RNAcentral.